GACGAACGCUGGCGGCGCGCUUAACACAUGCAAGUCGAACGGAAAGGCCUGCUUUCCCUUGUGGAUUGCGGGUACUCGAGUGGCGAACGGGUGAGUAACACGUGAGUGAUCUGCCCCCAACUUGGGUAUAAGCCUGGGAAACUGGGUCUAAUUCCCGAUAGGACUGCAGGGUGGUGCCUGUGGUGGAAAACGAUUUUCUAGUGGUUGGGGAUGAGCUCGCGGCCUAUCAGCUUGUUGGUGGGGUAAUGGCCUACCAAGGCGGCGACGGGUAGCCGGCCUGGGAGGGUGGACGGCCACAUUGGGACUGAGAUACGGCCCAGACUCCUACGGGAGGCAGCAGUGGGGAAUACUGCGCAAUGGGCGGAAGCCUGAUGCAGCGACGCCGCGUGGGGGAUGACGGCCUUCGGGUUGUAAACUCCUUUCGACCGCGAGGAAGCCACCUGGUUGGAAGGGUGGUGACGGUAGUGGUAGAAGAAGCACCGGCUAACUACGUG
This 494-nucleotide ribosomal RNA is filed under the name uncultured bacterium. RNAcentral's name for it is "partial 16S ribosomal RNA". It matches the Rfam family "Bacterial small subunit ribosomal RNA", at positions 28 to 507 of the family's 1533-position model. The record is from RNAcentral.